RNAcentral lists this ribosomal RNA (813 nucleotides) under uncultured bacterium. Its description in RNAcentral is "bacterial SSU rRNA". It matches the Rfam family "Bacterial small subunit ribosomal RNA", at positions 8 to 796 of the family's 1533-position model. The record is from RNAcentral.
AGAGUUUGAUCAUGGCUCAGAAUGAACGCUGGCGGCGUUAACACAUGCAAGUCGCACGAGAACGCUUCAGCUUGCUGAAGCUAGUAAAGUGGCGCACGGGUGAGUAACGCGUGGGUAAUCUAUCUCUGAAUUGGGGAUAACAUUGCGAAAGCGAUGCUAAUACCGGAUGAUAUCCAUUAAACCUCGGUUUUUUGGAUCAAAGGUGGCCUCUACAUGUAAGCUACUGUUUGGAGACGAGCCCGCGUACCAUUAGCUUGUUGGUAAGGUAACGGCUUACCAAGGCAACGAUGGUUAGCUGGUCUGAGAGGAUGAUCAGCCACACUGGAACUGACACACGGUCCAGACUCCUACGGGAGGCAGCAGUGAGGAAUUUUGCGCAAUGGGGGAAACCCUGACGCAGCAACGCCGCGUGAGUGAUGAAGGCUUUCGGGUCGUAAAGCUCUGUCAAGUGGGAAGAACCCGCGCCGCACAAAUAGUGCGGGGCGCUGACGGUACCACUGAAGGAAGCACCGGCUAACUCCGUGCCAGCAGCCGCGGUAAUACGGGGGGUGCAAGCGUUAUUCGGAAUCAUUGGGCGUAAAGAGCGCGUAGGCGGUCUUCUAUGUCAGGUGUGAAAGCCCGGGGCUCAACCCCGGAAGUGCACUUGAAACUGGGAGACUUGAGUAUGGGAGAGGGAAGUGGAAUUCCUGGUGUAGCGGUGAAAUGCGUAGAUAUCAGGAGGAACACCGGUGGCGAAGGCGACUUCCUGGACCAAUACUGACGCUGAGGCGCGAAGGCGUGGGGAGCAAACAGGAUUAGAUACCCUAGUAGUCC